UCUCAUUUCAUUACCAGAGACCUAGGACAUG
RNAcentral lists this non-coding RNA (31 nucleotides) under Mus musculus (house mouse). The record is from RNAcentral. Lineage: Eukaryota; Metazoa; Chordata; Mammalia; Rodentia; Muridae.